AACAUGAACAUGUCAGAUGCAAUUAUAGCUUUGAGCAUUUGCAUAACCAGAAAUCCUAACCUGAACAAGCACCAGAAGUGUCUCUCGGACUUUCUCCUUGCUGAUAAAUGGUCCGCUGUCUGAAGUAAGAGCAGGAGUAAGAGAUGGUGGAGGGGUUGGUGGUGGAAAAGGUUGAAGCACUGGGGCACCAUAUGGGCGUUGCAGACUCGGGGGAGGAUUAAGUGGCGAGCUGUUGGUGUAGAUGAAGAGACAAGCUGCAUCAUCCGUGCAUAGGAGGAUGGAGGAGGAACAAAGAAUAAGGAAGGCUUUACAAGAUUAGGGGUAGGUGCUGAUAGAGGUGGAGAUGGUAUUUGCAAAGUUGGCACGAUAGGAGAAGCAACACUGCGGGAUGAGAAGGUAAAGAAAUAGUUGUAUUGGACUGGUAAGGUUGUGCAGAGAUUGCUGCAUUAGAAUUAUUCCCCACAGUCAAAGCUGUCUGCAAUGAUAAGGACAGAUGUCAUAUAAAAGGACUCAUAGAAGUUGAACCUCACACAAAAAUGAAGUGAUAACAUAUGAAAAUAGUAUAUGACUUGCUGCAUUUUUGUGGUAAUGUUGCAUACUUAUGUAGAAACAUAUUAUUUCAAAGAAAACAUACAUGAAGAAGUUCACAAAAGCAGGAUCUUCAGGAACAUCAACAGCAUUUGAGGAGUUGACUCUAGAGGACCAUCCAUAACUGCCAUAGUUGGAACAGCUUCCAGUUCCUCAAACUCACUGCAGUUUAACAUAAAAGGAACUUGAUGACCAAUUUAAGUAAUAAUUAGAUGAUAUAAGAGGUUAGGGAAAAUGAUGAGUGGACCCUUAUGGAAGAUGAUUUCACCUUAGCUAAACACGAAAAUAAAAUGAAAUCAAAGCUGAAUCCUCGAGUGCAAUGCAAAUAAUUUUUUCUCUCUCUUCUCUAACUCCUCUUAUUCGAAAUUGCUCAUCAUUGUGCAGUUCCUCGAGAUUUUGCUAGAGUAGAGAAAGCUAUUCUCCCCGUUAAGUGCAGAGGAAAAAGAAGGGCAAGGGCCUGGUAUGAUGCUAUUCUAUAGGAAGUGAGAAGGUGAAGGGCUAAAAUAUUUUGCAAUUUGGAGGUGGUGUUUGUUAGUGUGUGUACUUCUGAAUUUAUUACCUCUUUAGGAUCCAUAGAAAUUGCCUCUUGUUCAGCAUGCACUGUGCCUACGAGUAAGGCGAGCUUGCAUGGUAUCUAUUGUCUAUUUACUUGGAUAUUCAAACAGGACUACCAGCAACCAAACACAAAUCCCCAAACAAAACACUCUUUCAAGUGCAAGGAAAGAGUAACUUGGGCAUAUUUAUGGUUCAAGCACUACAAUAACUAAGAAUGUGAUGACUGUCCACAAACACUAUAUCAGUGCCUUUUGAACUACAUCACAUGCUUGAAGACUUUUUUUUUAGUCAUACAUAAAUUAGCUAUAAAAUCAAGACCCUUAUACAACUAAAAAGAAAGAAAAAUUGUUUGCUACUACAUAUCAAAACUGGUAAUAGCAAUGUAAGAUGGCAGACUUCUUACUUAAACAGAUGAGAGGCUACAAAUAAAAAAUUUGUGCAAAUAAAAUAUAUGAUAAAGAGCAUAAUACUUUCUUGGGGGCUAAAAAUAAUAUACAACUUGUGAAAUAUAAAUUGAGCUACCAUUACCUUUUAGAUGUGGCAACUUUCGACUUUUGAGGCACCUUGGAAUAUGCAUUCAGAAUCCUGCAUUUGGAAGCCAAAUAAAUAAUGUUAAUAACAAUUUUACAAUAGAAAAAUUAAAAAUUGAUAAAUGGCAGUUGUAAUUUAUGUAUGGUAAAGAUAGCAUCACAUCCAGGUUCCUCCCAUAAACAUGCUUGUAACAAGAAUUAGUUUGCCUCAACUGCUAGCAACUAUACAAUAGUAAAAAUCACUCUUAUGAACUCAACAAUACUAGGCACCAAUAAGAGUAUGACACAGCCAUUCUAAAUGGAAGAGAAUACAACUGUUUUACAACUAUGUUGCAUCAGGAGAUAUGUUAGGAGGAUUAAUCCAGAUACCUUCCAACCCAAAUUAGGAAAACUCGAGUCAGAAACCAGGAGCUGCAACCAAACCUUACAAUCUUGAAGGAAGAAGGAGACUUGGGGCAUUUUUCCAGAUAGGUGACUUACAAGAUCUCCUGCCAAGAAAAUAUCUAUUGCUUUGAACCUCCAUUGAAAUUUCUUUUCCUUUUUUCUUGUUUUGACUUGGAACUUUCCAGCAUCAUCUAUUUGAUCUUUUUUAAAGCUAAAAUAGCAAUCUAUGCGUUGUCAACAUCUUAUCCCCCGCCCCCCCGGGGGGCCACCAAAAAAAAAAAAAACCAAUGAGUUGUCAAUAAAUAGCGCCUACUCAACUUAUGUUCUCCAAUGAUGACAAUGUGCAAAUUGACCUAGCAGCCACAUUUUUCCCCCUUUCAACCACCAUUAGGCAACUUUUCUAACCUUUCUUCAUUGCCCACGUCUACAGAACUAUCAUAUAAAGACUACAUUAUUAUUGGGACAGAGAAAAAAAUACAGACUAUAUUAUUAUUAUAUCUCAUUUUAUUAAUUAACUAGUGCAAGACUUAUUUAGUGUCAAAUCAAGAACUAAUUAGAAAAGACAACUCAUGAUAAUACAGACUUUAAAAAGCAAUAGCUAGCAAACCCCAUAUACUCCUAUUUUAGCCUUCAAUAUCCUGGUAAAAAACACAAUUAAGUCUAGCAAAAGAACAUUCACAAGUAAAUUCAACAUUAAUUAAGAUUAAGUAUCUACUGCACCUUCAAUCAAUGACUCGGUGAAUAGCAUGGUCAACCAUCUAGUUCCUGUAGCCCCUUGUACCUAUGUUAGUUACAUUUUACAUAUUAAGCCACGAAAAUGAAGGAUCACAGCCUGGUAAAGAAAGCCAUUAAUUAAUAGUUUUUGUUUAAAAAGUUCUCGUUUAGAUCUUUCCUAUUCAAUGAAUCAAUGUAAUCCAAGGAGAACUCUUCCAUUUCAAGCAGUGUUAGAAGAUAAUUGGAAAGCCUAAAGAUAAUAUACAGGACCAAGAUAUCGAUUAGGUCAAAUAGUGAAUGUCAAAUAUAAAAAAUAAAUAAAAGAAGUUGUACAUGAUCAUUUACUAUCAAGUUCUGUAAAACUGAAAAUACCAUUAUCCCUGUAGAGAUUCUCAAACAACUCUUUAGCAAAUUAUAAAAUAGUUAAAAAAAGAACGAAAGUUUAAAAAAAAAAAAUGUACAACAGCCAUAUCAGGAGAUGUUUUUCUUCUCAAUCUCAAUAUUUUCUAGCCGUAAACAAUUGAAAAGCUUAACACCAAGUGAAUUAUUAAGAAUUCAUCAUUUAAAUUCCCAAAUCGUAAAUGUUGGUGCAACUACGAAAGUGCAAAUGCAAUCACUUUACUUACACAAGAAACAUCAAUAGUGAGAAGCCAACUUUGUAUCAAAUUUGAAGCAGAUAGAUAGAGGUCAAAAAAAUUAUAAAGACACUCAAUUAAAAGCCUUUCAAACAGCUUUUGCAUGCAACAAGAACAAAUCAAAGGCGAUGUGAAUGUAUUCAAAGACUAAUUUACAAUCAUCUACAGGACAUAAAUAUCUUGGAUAACUACUCUCUAUACCUUACUGUCCCACUGAAAAUCAUCAAAUCCUCCAAACAAAAAUGACAAAAUGGAUAAGAAUUGUGUGGUCAAACAUCAAUAACUUAGCAGCCACAGCAAAAACUUAUGUAGACACGCAAGCCACUCAAAAUAGUCAUAUUGUUUGCUUUCCAAACACAAGCCACUUUGUAAUGAAUAUUCAUAAAUUGCUACUACCAUGUUUGUUAAAACACGUGAAAACCGCCAUCACUAACUAAAUGUAACUGAUGAUCAUCAUCACGUUCAUGGAAUCACAUGUCUGACAGUAUUAAUUNGUUGAAAAGUAGUCUGUAAAAUUAACUCAAACCGCUACAUACGCUAUUGCAACCCAAUUGAGGGCCCAUUUUUGUUUAUUUCGUUGAAAAGUAGUUCGCGCAAUUAAUUCAAACCGCUACACACACUAUUGCAUCUUUUGAAAAAGAAAAAUGGAAUAAUUUUUCAAAAUUAAUUUAGAGAAUAAGAUUUACUAAUAAUGAUGUUAGAAAUCUUGAUAUUUGAAUCUUAAUAUUAUCUAUCACUCAUUUAUUAAAUAAUAGAUUUCAUAGUUUGUAAAAUUACUUAACCACUUGAUAAAUGUUAUAUUUGUUGGGACUAGAUUGGGACUUAAAUAUUGGAAUAUCUAGUAUUGCAUAAAAAAAAAACUUAACAAUUUAUCUUCACACGACUAAUUGUUUUUACAUCACAACUAACCUUAAUUAUUUUAAAAGUUAUGCAUUAUUAAAUUGCCCUAACUAGUUAUCAAAAGGUGAAAGCAUGUUUAAAAAAGAAAUUACUAAGAAACAUUUGUUUAAACGAAGGUUAAGGUUAUGAUCAAUUAAUUAAGAAGAAACUUACUAUCAAAGGUUAAGAUUAUGAACAAUUUAAGGAAGUUAUUGAGUAGAGAAAGGGACAGAAUGGUUGUCUGAUUUGCCGGUGACAAGAAUGCUUGUGUUGUGAAAAGAAAUCCGAUGGUUUGUAAAUUUGUUGAAUUGGUCCCAAUUAGUAUAGUAACCAUCUAUUGAGCGGUAAAAUAUUAAUUUAAAUAGUCAUGAAAUCUAAUAUAUAAUAGAUUACUAACACACAUAAAUUAAAACUUAACUGUCAGAAAUCAUAACAUUAUCUAGCUUCAGUGGAGUUCUCUUAACAGAUUAUGUGAGAUUGCCUAUAUUAAAAAAUAUGUUAAGACUGCUUGUUGAAAGCAAUAUUCGCUUUUGAUUAUAUCCAUAACUUUGAAUUGAUAAAGUUGUAUUCAACAACUCUUGAAAAGACUAAGCAGGUCUUCUUUGCAUUUGAUCACUGGUAUUUCAGUUAAGUUUGUCGUUUACUUAAAUUUUUCUUGCUUUCAAUUUCCACUGUUGUUUUUUUUUUUAAUAAAAUAAAUUGUUUAACUAGUCAUAGAAAUAAGAGAGAAAUGGGUCAUUUCUUGACUCAAAGUCAAUUAUAAUUAUCAAAACUUGAGGGGACAUCGCAUGCCUAAAUUCCACGCACCCUAAAACAGUUUGAUUUGCUUUCACGCGUUCAUGAAUUUCCAUGAAAGAGCCUGUCUUUCGUCUCUUUCGGGACAAUGACUACAAUUAUGGAAAAAAAUUAUAAUUCUCGUUAGAUUGUAACCAAAUUAUUAUCCCUAAUUUUUUAAAGUUAAAUAAAAUAAAAUUCAUGCUUAAGUAUUUAGUAAUUAGAGAGAGAUAGAGAGGAUUGAGGGACAAUGUUUCGCGAUUUGGGGUCAAUUCAAAGUCAACUAACGUGUAAAACACGUGUAUGCAUAGAAAACGCUUAGAUUAUUUGUGUUCCAAGUGCAAGAAAUUAAGAAAAGAAAAUUGAUUUCCUUUCAUGAACUUCCAAGAAAGAAAGAAGACCCUUCACCUUGUUCGUGACAACAAAUGAAUGAAUGAUGUUGAUAUGACAAAUACAAGCGCUAUUACAGGGAACAGCAUAAGACCGAGACUUGAUAAAAGGUUUGUUGAAUUACAUGUUAUUUUCUUUUGACUUGAAUGAUGUUGAAAAUAAAAUAAAAUAAAAUUGUAAUCAGGGUGAUGUGUGCAAUAUAGUGAAAUAAAUAAAUAGAGAAGAGAAAUUCGUUGAUCAAUAUUAAAGAACUCAUCCAAAGUGAUCGUCAAAGUCUAGAGGUUCGGUAUGAUUAGCAUUUAUUUUUAUUUUUUUUGGCUUAGCAUCAUAUAUAGUCACUGUCGUGUGAUCUAGGACAUGUUUAGAAAUCCUUUUAUUUUAACUUCCGUAUUCUUAUUAUUUAAUUAGUUAUAAAGUUUUUAAGUAUUUGAGUAUUGAUCACAUGUCUCCUAAUCUAAAAAUAUGUUUUUACGAGUACAAAUAACAAACUAUGAUUUUAACAUCCUUUUAUACUAAACCCUAAAAAUACAUGAAUUUAUCAAAAUAAGUAAAUUAAUUUAAAUUGGUAUGGCAUAAUAGAAGUUUUACCUGCCAAAACAAAUUAAAAAAAUAUUACACUUAAAUCAAAUAUUGACAAAAAUAGAUAACAAUCUAAUGAGAAUCUUAACUAGACAUUUUUAAUUCUAUCCAAUUUAACUGGAACGAGAAUUAAGUCCUUUCAAUACUUAGGACUCAUAACUCAUACACACUAGUUUGAGAGUGUGGGGUGUGACAAUGGGACCAUUGACAAGUAUAAAAGAGUGGUCGCAAUUAAUUCAAACCACUACACACGCUAUAUUGAGGGCCCACUUUUGUUUAUUUCGUUGAAAAGUAGUUUUCACAAUUAAUUCAAACCGCUACACACGCUAUUGCGUCUUUUAAAAAAGAAAAAUGGAAUAGUUUUCCAAAAUUAAUUCAGAGAAGAAGAUUUACUAAUAAUGAUGUUAGAAAUCUUAAUAUUAUGUAUCACUCAUUUAUUAAAUAAUAGAUUUCAUAGUUUGUAAAUUUACUUAACCACUUGAUAAAUGUUAUAUUUGUUGGGACUAAAUUGGGACUUAAUGUUGGAAUAUCUAGUAUUGCAUAAAAAAAUAAAUAAAAACUUAACAAUUUAUCUUCGCAUGACUAAUUGUUUUUACAUCACAACUAACCUUAGUUAUUUUUUAAAGUUAUAGUAUUAUUAAAUUGCCCUAACUGGUUAUCAAAAGAGGAAAGCAUGUUAAAAUAAGAAAUUACUAAGAAACAUGUGCUUAAACAGAGGUUAAGGCUACGAAUAAUUAAGAAGAAACAACUUACAAUCAAAGGUUAAGAUUAUGAACAAAUUAAGGAAGGUAUUGAGCAGAUAAAGGGACGGAAUCAUUGUCUGAAUUGCCGGUGACAAGAAUGCUUGUGUUGUGAAAAGAAAUCUGAUGGUUUGUAAAUUGUUGAAUUUUUUAUUCGCUCGCUCCAACUGACUUACUAAUGCCAAAUUUAUUACUUUGCACAGUAGUGUUUAGGAUCCUCAAGAUCAACUCUUAAUUUGGUCCCAAUUAGUGCAGAAAUCAUCUAUUGAGCAAUAGAAUAAGAAUUUUUCUAGUCAUGAAAUUUAAAUAUAUAAUAUAUCCUUGACACACAUCGAUUAGAACUUAAUUGUUAGAAUUCAUAACAUUACUCUACUCUCAAGGGGAGUUCUCUUAACAUAUUAUGUUAGGUUGCCUACAUUCAAAAUAUGUUAGACUGCUCUUUGAAAGCAAUAUUCCCUUUUCCGUAACUUUGAAUUGAUCCAAUAGCUCUUGAAAAGCACAUAAUAAUCAUUAUAAAUUUAAUCAAAGACUAAGCAGGUCUUCUUUGCAUUUGAUCACUGGCAUUUCAGUUAAGUAUGUCAUUUACUUAAAUUUUUCUUGCUUUCAAUUUUCACUGUUGUUUUUUUUUUUAAUAAAAUAAUUUGUUUAACUAGUCACAGAAAUAAGAGAGAAAAUGGGCCAUUUCUUGACUCAAAGUCAAUUAUAAUUAUCAAAACUUGAGCGGACAUUGCAUGCCUAAAUUCCACACACCCUAAAACGGUUUGAUUUGCUUUCACGCGUUCAUGAUUUUCCAUGAAAGAGAGUGCCUCUCGUCUCUUUCCGGACAGUGACGACAAUUAUGUUAACGUGACAAAUACAUAACGUUAUUACAUACAAGAAUAAGUUUUUGGAGCCGAGACUUGAGGGAGGUUCUAUCUAAUUCUAAAGAUUGUAACCAAAUCAUUAUCCCCAAUUUUUUUCAGUUAAAUAAAAUAAAAUUUAUGCUUAAGUAUAAAUAAAAUCCAUAGUGGAUAAAUAUUUGAUUAUCGAUUUUUUUUAAUGUAAAAUUGCUGGUUUGUUGCUUAAAAUUUUCAAUAAUAAUUUCACUUAUUUAGUAAUUAGAGAGAGAGAGAGGAUUGAGGGCCAAUGUUUCGCGAUUUGGGGUCAAUUCAAAGUCAACUAAGGUGUAAAACAUGAUUUCCUUUCAUGAACUUCGAAGAAAGAAAGAAGACUCUUCACCUUCUUCAUGACAACGAAUGAUGUUGAUAUGACAAAUACAAUCGCUAUUACAGGGAACAGCAUAAGACCGAAAUUUGAUAAAGGGUUUGUUAAAUUACAUGUUAUUUUCUUGUUAACUGAAUUGGAAGAAAAAAUAAAAAUAAAAUAAAAUUGUAAUCAGUGUGAUGUGUGGAAUAUAUUGAAAUAAAUAAAUAGAGAAGAGAAAUUCGUUGAUCAAUAUUCAAGAACUCAUCCAAAGUGACUGUUAAAGUCUAGAGGUUCCGUAUGAUUAGCAUUUAUUUUUAAUUUUUUGGCUUAACAUCAUAUGUAGUCACUGGUCGUGUGAUCUAGGACAGGUUUAGAAAUCUUUUUUUUUUUUUAACUUCCGUAUUCUUAUUAUUUAAUUAGUUAUAGGGUUUUUUAGUAUUUGAGUAGUGAUCACAGGUCUCCUAAUCUAAAAUUAUGUUUUACGAGUACAAAUAAAAACUAGGAUUUUAACAGCCUUUUAUACUGAACCCUAAAAAUACAUGAAUUUAUCAAAAUAAAUAAAUUUGAAUUGGUAUGCCAUAAUAAAAAUUUUACUUGCCAAAACAAAUUAAAAAAAAAUAUGACGCUUAAAUCAAAUAUCGACAAAAAUAGAUAAAAAUCCAACAAGAAUCUCAAAAAUAAGAAAGAUAUCUUCAAAAUAGAAGCGUCCAAGAGAAAUUUGGCGAAGAUUUGCUAAUCCACAUUGAAAAUGUCACUUUUCCUUGAGAACUUCAUAAUGAUAUAUUAUGAGCCUAAGACAAAUACCAAUUACUCAAGUUAUGGCCCUAUGAAGACAUCCUAUUCAUUCUCCCUAGACCAGGACGUGUCGCACAUGUUUGCAUUCAAAUUUAGGUGAAAAUCUACUCUCAUUCAAGGGAUAUAUAGGUACCUGUGAAGUCUCAAACCCGAGAUAAUGUGAAAGCAAAUCGGGAGUUUGAUUAAAUUCAGCCAAUUAUUAGUGUGUACGGAUGGUAGGGAUGGAAAAAAACUCCGACCGUUCUUAGGUAUGGUAUUACCCAGAUCUGGCCUAAGCAUGUUUUUUUGAACACUCAGAAUUUUUUAAUCAAAACUUAAAAAACCUAGAAUUUAUAUUUUAUAAUAUUAUAUAUAUUUAUUUUAUUUUAUAAUUUUAUAUUUUCAAAUUUUAUUUUAAUGAAUUGGAAUUAAAAAUAUGAGUUUUAAAUGUUUAAAAUUUUAAAAAUAGAUAAUAAGUGGACCAAAUGAACAAAAUAAUAGAUAUUUAUAAUAUUCUUCAUAAAAAUCCAAGUUUUGAGCUAGCCCAUAAGCUUGUCUAGUGAAGUCUGGGUACCCGCGUUGCCCAAGGUUCCGUCAGAAUCCAGGCUGUGCAGAUAUUUAUGGACGGAGAGGAAAUAUUUUCAGUUGACUGAAUUAAAUAAAAAUAUAUUACAAUCAUAUUAUAUAUUAACAGUAAAAAUAAAAAGAAAUGAAGAAAAACGCAUGCAAGACUUAGACAAAGUCAAUUAAAAGCUGGAGUAUCAUCAGUUCAAUUGGUUUUAAAUAGCGUAGAGCCAUCCUCUCGUUGUUGCAGAAGAGAGACAGAAAGAGUGUGUGUAGGCGAUUAUAAUUAAGCAGAUAUAAUGUGUGGUUCAAAAAGAGUGUGGGUGAGUGAGUUAAUUUUCAUAUUAUUAGUAGUAAAAGGGUGGUGGAGUGAGGGAUGUUUGGGCAAGAGGUCUGCUCUCCUCCAACUCAGACAUUUCUUCAAUGAUGAUCACCGUCUUCAAAACUGGGUAGACGAUGAGUAUUAUUCAGAUUGUUGUCAGUGGGAACGGGUUGAGUGCAACGACACCACUGGCAGAGUGAUUGAAUUAGAUCUAGCAGUAACUCGGAAUUGGGAAUCAGCAGAGUGGUAUAUGAAUGCCUCUCUGUUUACUCCUUUUGAACAAUUAGAGUCUCUUGAUCUAAUAGGGAACAAUAUAGCCGGUUGUGUUGAAAAUGAGGUCCGUAAUUUACUCUAUUUUAAUUCUUCCUCAUAAUUUUUUCCAUUUAUCUGAUCCCUUUUGGUUUUUAUUUAAUUGUAUGUGAUACAAUAAAAUUACUUUUUAUUUUUUGGCAGGUCUAGAUAGGUUAUCAAGUUGAACAACUUGAAGUUUCUUUAUUUAGACCUUAACCACUUCAACAACAGCAUCUUUUCAUCUCUAGGUGGUCUUUCAUCACUCAGAAACUUAUCAUUGGCUGCUAAUCGAUUGAAUGGAAGUGUUGAUAUUAAAGGUAAGUAAGCUUCAUCCCUUCUCCCCUGUCCCAUCUUUUGUGGAUCUUAUUUCACUGAGCAGCUGGAAGUAUUGAUACGAGAUCUAGCUAGACUCUUGCGAGUUUAGGCUUCACGGCUUUGAAUAGUAUAAAAAUAAGUUGAAGAAAUUAUCAAUAUAUUGCAAUUUUCAAUGCUUCUCAUAAUCAGACACAAUUCAAUCUAAUUAUUUCGUAUGUCCUGUCUUCAAAAGUAAAGAAUUGUACACUAAUUGGAAAUCGACAUCGUAGCUUUUUAUUUUCUGUAAUGCUAUUUCUUCGUUAACAAGUUUAUAUCCUAAGAGGGAUUGGAUUGAAAAAAAAAAAAGAAGUUUUGAUGUUCAAUGUAAGCCAUGAUAACCUGCAUCUUAUUUGUCUGCCGACAUCCAAAUUUGUGCACUGAAUUUAGUAUUUUGGUUAUUGUGAAGGGAUCAGAUAUUGGCUUCCAUAGACCAACUUGUAUUUACUUAAUUAAUUAAUUAACGACAUUUAGUAUUUAACAAAUUAAAAUUUCAUGUUUAAUCUAUUUUAAUUUUUUAAGAAAAAAGAAAUAGAUAUAGCAGCAGGUAAAGCUGAAAUAAAUUUUAAUUCCUUACAAAUUUAAAUUCAUGGUUGUCAGCUAAAUAUAACUGCUUAAAGCCACUCUUUUCGCUGAGAUUUAACCAAAAAAAAAGGAGAAAAUAAUUUAUUUAAUUAACUCUGUUUUAAGUGUUGGAAUAAAUACAGGACUAGAAUCCUUGAGUAACUUGGAGAUGCUGGACAUGAGGGACAAUGCAAUCGACAAUCUAGUGGUUCCUAAAGGUAUACAAAAUGACACUAACCCAAAAUAAUUUAAUCCGAAAUUGUAUCCCAAAUAGAUUACAGAGGUUUGAGGAAGUUGGAUACCCUUUAUUUGGGGGGGAAGGGAAAUUGCAGUGAUAUAUGGAAGCAAGGUGUUGCAAUCAAUAAAGAAAUUCGUUGGUCAAUAUUCAAGGACUCAUCCAAAGUAAUCGUUAAACAUUUCUUCAAUGAUGAUCAACGUCUCAAAACUAGGUAGACGCGGGAGAUGAUGAGAAUAAUUUAGAUUGUUGUCAGUGGGAAGGGAUUGAGUGCAACAAAACCACAGGCAGAGUGAUUAAAUUAGAAUCUAGCACAAACUCGAAAAUGGGAAUCAGCGAAGUGGUAUAUGAAUGCCUCUCUGUUUACUCCCUUUCAACAAUUAGAGUCUCUUGAUCUAAUUGGGAACAAUAUAGCUGAUUGUGUUAAAAACGAAGGUCAUUAAUUUACUCUAUUUUAAUUCUUCCUCCUCGUAAUUUCUUACAUCUAUCUGAUCCCUUUCGGCUUUUGUUUAAUUUGUACGUGAUACAAUAAAAUUAUUUUUUUUUCAGGUCUGGAGAGGUUAUCAAGGUUGAACAACUUGAAGUUUCUUGAUUUAGGCUUUAACCACUUCAACAACAGCAUCUUUUCAUCUCUAGGUGGUCUUUCAUCACUUAGACACUUAUCAUUGGCUGAUAAUAGAUUGAAUGGAAGUAUUGAUGUUAAAGAUAAGCAAGCUUCAUCCCUUCUCUCGUGUCCCAUCUUUGUGGAUCUUAUUUCAUCGACCAGCUGGAAGUAUUGAUACGAGAUCUAGCUAGACUCUUGCUAGUUUAAGCUUCAAGGCUUUGAAUAUUAUAAAAAUAAGUUUAAGGAAUUAUCAAUAUAUGCAAUUUUCUAUGCUUCUCAUAAUCAGACACAAUUCAAUCUAAUUAUUUCGUAUGUCAUGUCUUCAAAAGUAAAGAAUUGUACACUAAACGGAAAUCGACAUUGUAGCUUUUAAUUUUUCUAAUGCUCUUUCUUUGUUAACGAGUUUAUAUCCUGAGAGUGGAUUGGAUUAAAAAAAAAAAAAAAAAAAGUUUUGAUGUUCAAGGUAAGCCAUAAUAACAUGCAUCUUAUUUAUCUGCCUAUAUCUAAAUUUGUGCACUGAAUUUAGUAUUUUGGUUAGUGUGAAGGGAUCAGAUAUUGGCUUCCAUAAACCAACUUGUAUUUACUUAAUUAAUUAAUUAACACCAUUUAGUAUUUAACAAAUUAAAAUUUCGUGUUUAAUUUGUCUUAUUUUUUAUUUUUUGAAGCAAGAAUAAGGUAUAGCAGUAGGUAAAGUUGAAAUACAUAUUUAUUCCUUACAAAUUUAAAUUCGUUUUCAGCCAAAUAUACCUACUUAAAACCACUCAAUCAGGCCAUUGGCAACAGUUUUUAGGUUUUUCUAGUUAACCGUGUACUUUUUUGCUUAUUAAUAAAAUUCUUUUGUGCUGAGAUUUAAAAUAAAGAAGGAGAAAAUAAGUUAUUUAAUUAACCCUGUUUUUAAGUGUUGGCAUAAAUACAGGACUGGAUUCCUUGAGUAACUUGGAGGAGCUGGACAUGACAGGCAAUGCAAUCGAUAAUCUUGUGGUUCCUAAAGGUAUACAAAAUGUUCAAAUAUUAAUAAUUUGGAGGACAGUUUAAUUGAUUUGAUUAGGAAUGCCCAAUGACACUUACCCAAAAUAAUUUAAUCUGAAAUUGUAUCCAAAACAGAUUUCAGAGGUUUGAGGAAGUUGAAUACCCUUCGUAUAGGGGGAACCAGAAUUCAAAUGAUAGAUGGAAGCAAGGUGUUGCAAUCAAUAGGAUCACUACCGUCCCUCAAAACACUUGACCUUUGGUAUACUAAUUUUACGGGAACAGUAGUUAAUCAAGGUAAGUAAAUCUUUUAUGUCGAAAAUAAUUGAAUUAAUAUAUAUAGCUAAAAUUUAUUGUUUCUACUUCUUUCUAAAUAGAAUUGCACAAUUUCACCAACUUGGAAGAAUUGAUAUUGCUCGAGUCUGAUCUCCAUGUAAGCCAGCUUCUACAAAGCAUCGCAUCAUUCACUUCGUUAAAGUAUUUGUCAAUGGGAGGUUGUACUUAAUGAAGCAAUUAUGGGUAUCCAAAAGAUUUUUUCUUAAUUCGAUAAUAAAUUAUGGGUAUCUGAAGCUUUUAUGAUAUUAAUUCGAUAAUAAUUCUUUCUUUUCAAGUUAAUUUUUUCCCCUAAAAUAAGAUUUUUUUUCUUUUAAAUUUCAUAUAUUUUCAUUGUCCAAUAGUUCUAGCUUCUCUUAAUUGCAGGAUUCUUGAUUAAGGUUAAUGAAAUUUUAGUUCUGUUAUGUUAAGAAUAUUUCGAUCGCUUAGAAGAGUAAAGAAAAAUAAGUAAAUUAACCAAAAAAAAAAGAGAAAAGGACCGGAUUAUCCUUAUUCCCUUGCAUUAUGUGAUCAAUAUCAAAAUUAUAACCAUUUCUUGUUUAUUGCUUGUAGAUUUUCUUAAAUUCAAGAAUUUGGAACAUCUGGACAUGGGUGGGGGCGCAAGUUGACGUCAACACCAGUUUUCUUCAAAUUGUCGGCGAAUCGAUGCCUUCUCUUAAGUUUUUAUCACUGACAGGUUCAAGUCUUAAUAAAAACGCCAUUCUUGAUCAAGGUUAGUUAAUGAUUCUCUUUCUCCCUCUCUCGCAUCUUAACUAAAUUUAAUUGAGAAUAUCUAUAAUGCUAGCUAUUUAUAAACUUAAUGAAAGAUGAUAAGGAGCUACUAUAAUGACAAAAACAACUGUAAAAUAGUGCGCUGUUGUAGUGUUAAUUGAAAAAUAAUGCUAAUUUUAUAGUCAUUUUGUUGCCAUUACGUCAGAUUCCAUUGUUCAAUUAUUUAAGUUUUAUGCAAAUAUAUUUUUCAGGACUUUGUCGGUUAGUGCAUCUACAAGAGUUAUACAUCGGCGGUAAUGAUUUGAGAGGUAGCUUGCCAUGGUGCUUGGCAAACAUGACAUCCCUCCAAGUGUUAGAUGCCUCUUUUAAUCAACUUACUGGAAACAUCUCCCCAGGCCUUUGUGAGUUGGUGCUUCUGAGAGAGUUAUACAUUGAUUACAAUUAUUUAAGAGGUAGCUUGCCUUUGUGCUUGGCAAAUUUGACUUCCCUUCGAGUAUUAGAUGUCUCUUACAAUCAACUUACUGAAAACAUCUCAUCUUCCCUCAUGCAUCUAAUAUCUAUGGAAAAGCUCAUACUUUCAAAUAAUCACUUCUUCCAAAUCCCUAUUUCACUUGAACCACUUUUCAAUCUCACAAAACUCAAGACUUUCGAUGGUGAAAUAUACGCAGAAACUGAGUCACAUUAUAAUUCUUUGACCCCAAAAUUCCAAUUGACUUCUAUCUCAUUGUCUGGCUACGGAGAUGGUGGCACAUUUCCCAAAUUCUUGUACCAUCAGCAUGACUUGAAGAAUGCUGAUCUCUCACACCUUAACUUGAGUGGAAAUUUUCCAAAUUGGUUGGUAGAAAACAAUACGAACUUAGAGACGCUUCUUCUUGCCAAUAACUCUCUUUUUGGAUCAUUUCGGAUGCCAAUUCAUUCCCACCAGAAAUUAGCAACAUUGGAUGUCUCCAACAAUUUCUUUCAAGGCCAUAUCCCAGUAGAAAUCGGAACAUAUCUGCCAGGCUUAAUGCAUUUAAACUUAUCUAGAAAUGCUUUCAACGGUAGCAUUCCCUCUUCAUUUGCUGAUACGAAAAUGUUGAAAAGCUUGGACAUAUCCUACAAUCAGUUGACUGGUGAAAUCCCUGAGCGCAUGGCCAUGGGUUGCUUCUCAUUGGAAAUUCUUGCAUUGUCAAACAACAGUUUGCAAGGUCAUAUAUUCUCUAAAAAAUUUAACUUGACAAAUUUGAUGAUGUUGCAGUUGGAUGGUAAUAAAUUCAUUGGAGAGAUCCCAGAAAGCUUAUCUAAGUGCUAUUUGUUGGGAGGAUUGUAUCUGAGUGAUAAUCAUCUCUCUGGUGAGAUUCCAAGAUGGUUGGGUAAUUUGUCAGGUUUAGAAGAUAUUAUAAUGCCCAAUAACAAUCUUGAAGGACCAAUUCCAAUCGAGUUUUGUCAGCUUGAUUAUCUGAAGAUUUUAGACCUUUCAAACAAUAGUAUUUUUGGAACUUUACCAUCUUGUUUUAGUCCAGCAUCUAUCGAACAAGUUCAUUUGUCGAAAAACAAGAUAGAAGGACGGCUGGAGAGUAUAAUCCAUGACAGCCCUCAUUUGGUGACAUUCGAUCUUAGUUAUAACAGCUUACACGGAAGUAUUCCAAAUCGGAUUGACAGACUACCUCAGUUAAACUACCUUCUUUUAGCUCAUAAUUAUAUUAAAGGCGAAAUACCAGUUCAAUUAUGCCAGUUGAAGGAAGUGCGGUUGAUUGAUCUUUCUCAUAAUAAUCUAUCUGGUCAUAUUCCUCCUUGCUUGGUUAACACUUCACUCAGUGAAGGUCAUCAUGAGGCAGUAGCUCCAACUUCUAGUUCGUGUGGUCGAGCGUCUGGCUAUGCAAGUCCAUGUGCGAAAAAUACAAGUGGACUUCCGAUGGGAAAGGAAGAAACUGUACAGUUCACAACAAAGAAUAUGUCCUACUAUUAUCAAGGAAGAAUUUUGACGAGUAUGUCUGGGAUUGAUCUUUCUUGUAACAAACUGACAGGUGAGAUUCCUACUCAAAUUGGAUAUCUUACAAGGAUUCGUGCGCUAAAUCUAUCUCAUAACAAUUUGACGGGCACAAUCCCGACAACAUUUUCAAACCUGAAGCAAAUCGAAAGCUUGGACCUCUCCUACAACCUACUGCAUGGGAAAAUCCCUUCUCAGCUCACUGUGCUAAAUACAUUGGCGGUCUUCACAGUAGCAUACAAUAACUUAUCAGGAAAAAUUCCAGAUAGAGUUGCACAAUUUUCAACUUUUGAGGAAGAUAGCUAUGAGGGGAAUCCUUUUCUUUGUGGAUGGCCACUGUCUAAAAGUUGCAAUGAUAGUGGAUUAUCAGCAGUGACACGAGAAGCUUACACUGAUAAUGAAGAAGGUGAUAGUUUAAUUGACAUGGACAGUUUCCUAAUCACUUUUACAGUAUCUUAUGGAAUUGUGAUAUUAGGAAUUAUUGGAGUUUUGUACAUAAACCCCUAUUGGCGACGAAGAUGGUUUUACCUUGUUGAAGUAUGUAUGAUCUCUUGCUACUAUUUUGUAGUAGAUAAUCUUAUUCCUAGAAGAUUCUAUGGUGGAUGGAUGUAAUUUCAUUUACUUUACAACUUAUAUGUAAUUUUUUAAAGAAUUUUCUUUUGCAUGCAUGGAAUAGCAACUCAAUAAAAGUAUUUGAUGCAAAUUGUCCUAGAACAACUUAGUAAUUUCAUUGCUACUAUUUGGUUGUAUAUAUACAGUUAAUGAAAUUUUUAAUCAUUCGCAGUAGGAAAUUUCUUUAGAUGGCGGCCAAAACUAACAGAUUUGGGGCUCUACUUCUACACAUCAUAACAGGCAAAAGGUCUCUCUUUUACACGAUCUGAAUGAAGAUUAACUUACGCCCUCUAGGCUCUGGAGUGUGUGUAAGUUCUCUAUUAAACUUGACGGUUGAGAUUUCAGGUCCAGAUGAAAGUGAAAUGCAGGCGACGAGACUACACUUUAAGUAAACUGGGACAAACUUAAAAUAAAAAAAAUUGUAGUCCAGGGUGAGAGUGAUGGGUAGCUCAACUUAUGGAGGAUAACUAGGACUUGGAAUAACUAUCAGAUUUGCAACUCUUGUUAUAUGCUAGUGGGGAUUUAGGUAGAAAUUUUUUUUUUUUUCCUUUUUGCCCUCUUCCUCACAAUAAAAACACGUAACACACCAAGCCGUGCCCAAAAUAAUCCUAUUUUAUUCAUGUCAUGAAUCCAAAAACUAUCCCAGCUCACUUUGUUUAACCAGCAUAACUAAAUUGUGGGUAUAAAUGAACACACUUUCGAAGCCUGUAACUUAUAAUAAGCUCAAACCCAAAAAUGACAUUUAAAUCCUGCAAGUGUUUUUCAUCAUCCCUAACAAAAAGAAACAAGAAUAAUUAUAUACCAAUAAUUUUUCCAUAAAAAAUACUGAUUUGAGUUGAAACACUAUACAAACUGGGUUUUAUACACUUGCAGAAAGCUACACGGUAGACAAAAUCUAGCAGCUACAUAUUGGUAUCACUUUCAGCUGGUCAUGAAUGGUGUGCAUUCAGCAGUGCUCGAUAGACCAUGUCUAUGAAUUGAUUGUCCUAUUACAUAUAAAAGCUGGUCAGAUAUACAAGGAAAAAAAUAAUAAUUGAAAAUGCAUCACAAAAAAUAAGUGUUUCGCAUUAGUGUUUGCACUCUAAGCAUGGCAAAGUGGUGCGGGGUUCAUGAUUUUGAAGACUGUGAUAAGUGAAAAAUAGUUCAAUCCACUGAUGAACAUAAAUUUAUUUACAUGUCAAUUUAGAUAUCAUCAAAAAGUAACAGUAAUUCAGAGUCACUUAAAAUAGUUGAUAAAAUGCGUGCCAUGAAUGUAUUUUGUACAUAAGAAAUCCAAAGAGUAUUUCUGACAAUACAAAUAUGCUAGCUUUAAGUCUGCUGUCAAUAUGCAAUUAAGAAGAUUAUACCAGCUGCAUGAUAAAGUUCCCCUAAUCUUAAUAACAGUAAACAUGAACAUGUCAGAUGCAAUUAUAGCUUUGAGCAUUUGCAUAACCAGAAAUCCUAACCUGAACAAGCACCAGAAGUGUCUCUCGGACUUUCUCCUUGCUGAUAAAUGGUCCGCUGUCUGAAGUAAGAGCAGGAGUAAGAGAUGGUGGAGGGGUUGGUGGUGGAAAAGGUUGAAGCACUGGGGCACCAUAUGGGCGUUGCAGACUCGGGGGAGGAUUAAGUGGCGGAGCUGUUGGUGUAGAUGAAGAGACAAGCUGCAUCAUCCGUGCAUAGGAGGAUGGAGGAGGAACAAAGAAUAAGGAAGGCUUUACAAGAUUAGGGGUAGGUGCUGAUAGAGGUGGAGAUGGUAUUUGCAAAGUUGGCACGAUAGGAGAAGCAACACUGGCGG
Molecule: long non-coding RNA, 18023 nt
Filed under: Citrus maxima (pomelo)
Lineage: Eukaryota; Viridiplantae; Streptophyta; Magnoliopsida; Sapindales; Rutaceae
Description: long non-coding RNA (CMAX_LNC003447)
Source: RNAcentral